Molecule: ribosomal RNA, 297 nt
Filed under: uncultured bacterium
Lineage: Bacteria
Description: partial 16S ribosomal RNA
Rfam family: Bacterial small subunit ribosomal RNA
Source: RNAcentral
AGUCCUACGGGACGCAGCAGUGGGGAAUAUUGCACAAUGGGGGGAACCCUGAUGCAGCGACGCCGCGUGAGUGAAGAAGUAUUUCGGUAUGUAAAGCUCUGUCAGCAGGGAAGAAGAAAGACGGUACCUGACCAAGAAGCCCCGGCUAACUACGUGCCAGCAGCCGCGGUAAUACGUAGGGGGCAAGCGUUAUCCGGAUUUAUUGGGUUUAAAGGGUGCGCAGGCGGUCUGUUAAGUCAGCGGUCAAAGCCCGGGGCUCAACCCCGGCCCGCCGUUGAAACUGGCAGUCUCGAGUUG